This 254-nucleotide long non-coding RNA is filed under the name Lathyrus oleraceus (garden pea). RNAcentral describes it as "Pisum sativum (pea) long non-coding RNA (PSAT_LNC031827)". The record is from RNAcentral. Lineage: Eukaryota; Viridiplantae; Streptophyta; Magnoliopsida; Fabales; Fabaceae.
ACGAUUGUUUACCAAUUUCCACAGUAAACAAUAUCAAGUGUGAAGAAUUCUUUGGACUUGUCUGAAUUGAAGCAACAAACAAAAGUGACAUCCGAUUUGGAAUUGUGUGGUGAUCAUCGGUUGGUAAGCAUGUUAUUUUAUUAAUAAUUUUUUUUCUCUGCAAACAUGUUUCUUGAGGACAAAUAACAUUUUAAAUUUGUGGUUGUGAUGAAAGUCACUUACUAUGUAUUUUUAUCUGUUGCUUUUAGUGUUUU